UAAGGUGUACCACGCACGCAGCCAAAUCCCUAAUUCCCCUUCUCCUUCUUCGAUUCCCCACACCCGCCGCCGCCGGGCUCUCCACCGCGCCUCCGCGCUCCACCACGGCGUUGGCCUCUCCCUCGCGCCCCCGCGUCUCUACUUCACGCUGUCGACCUCUCCACCUACUCCAGAGGAGCGUUGCCCUGCGGAAUGGCGUGACGGCCGUGGCGGCGCACGUCCCGGAGGUGCUGCUGCUCGUGGUGUCCAAUCCCGUCGACGACCUCACCUACCUGGCCUGAAAGCUUUCAAGCUUCCCGGCGAGCAGCGUCGGCGGCUCCGGCACCAACCUCCACUCCUCCAGGUUCCGGUUCCUUAUCAACCAGCUCCACGUCAACACCCAGGACGUGUAGGCUAUUUAACUUGUUUCUUGAUUAAGGUGUUGAUGGGCUGUAACUAUUUGCCACUCUGAAGAUAUAAAUUGUUAUUUCUUCAGGUAUCGUAUCACUGAGGCACCCUCCCACGCACCUGCAAGCAUGAAUGAAGGACGUGUUUUGAGGUCUAGUGUAACACAAGAUCAUGAUCAUGUAGAUCACGCGCAUCAGCCUUCCAAAGAAGCAAACGUAAGGACUGGACUCACAAUGAACCAUGAAGCCGGCGAUCCGCGUCAACUGGAUGCUUUAGCUUUCAUUUUGUACAACCGAUGUCUCAUAUUUGCGUCUUUUUGCUGUCAUUCUGUAAACCUGAUGUAUGGUGUCUUGUCUUGGUGGUUAGAACAAACUGAUGUGUAUGUAUGUGACAAUUAGUUAAUGGAAUAAAAAAUGGUUUGGUGCACCUGA
This is a long non-coding RNA of Triticum dicoccoides, 818 nucleotides long. RefSeq lists it as uncharacterized. NCBI's taxonomy places the organism in Eukaryota, Viridiplantae, Streptophyta, Magnoliopsida, Poales, Poaceae. The transcript is spliced from 4 exons. The record is from RefSeq and is a predicted model, not a curated record.